Molecule: small RNA, 1107 nt
Filed under: Komagataeibacter xylinus
Lineage: Bacteria; Pseudomonadati; Pseudomonadota; Alphaproteobacteria; Acetobacterales; Acetobacteraceae
Description: bacterial LSU rRNA
Rfam family: Bacterial large subunit ribosomal RNA (bases 772-1107)
Source: RNAcentral
CUGGAUCACCUCCUUUCAAGGAUGUGUUCUGAGUAUUGUCCGGGCGUAAGUCUGGAUGAUUUUGGAAUGCUUCUGAAAAUAAAGUCCUUCCUGCAGGAUCGGGAAGGCACAGCCAGAGAGGCUGCCUGCACUUUGGUGCAACGCGCCGUCAACAUAUCCCUUCCAGCGACAAUCAAUGGACCCUUUUGGGGCUAGUAGCUCAGUUGGUUAGAGCACACGCUUGAUAAGCGUGGGGUCGGAGGUUCAAGUCCUCCCUGGCCCACCAGUCCUCUGUUCAUGGCGGUGCCGCAAGGUGCUGUUCAUGGCCUGAUGGGGGCGUAGCUCGGCUGGGAGAGCACCUGCUUUGCAAGCAGGGGGUCGUCGGUUCGAUCCCGUCCGCCUCCACCACACUUUACUGGUGUUGAGAGGUCUGGGAAUGAUUGUCGCCGGAAGAUAAUGGAGAUCGGACGGAUAGCUUGUGGGACCGCGUUGGCGGUGCAUGAGGUAUUGCGGUCUGGUAAGUUUGCUCUUUGAUAAGUGAAUAGGUUGGUGCGUUUGUGGACGCGCCCUGAUUGCGGGUUGGUCUGACCCGUGUGAUGGUCCGAGCAGUUGGAGUAUCACAUGCUAAGCGAUCUGGGCGUAUGCGUUCACAAGCGAGUAUGAAUAUGUGUUGAUUGUGCUGAUGCACUGCACUUUCUUAUGUGCGGGUGUUGUUGCUCGAUCUGUCGGUUUUAUGUGAGUGAUCAUGUAUGGCUGGUGGUUUGAGUGGAUGGCUCCUGUGCAUGUGUGGGCAAUGAGCGCGAUAAGGGCAUUCGGUGGAUGCCUUGGCACCAGGAGGCGAUGAAAGACGUGGCACGCUGCGAAAAGCCAUGGGGAGCCGCGAGCAGGCUUUGAUCCGUGGAUAUCUGAAUGGGGCAACCCACCCAGCGAUGGGUAUCAUGUUCUGAAUACAUAGGGACAUGAGGCGAACCCGGGGAACUGAAACAUCUAAGUACCCAGAGGAAAAGACAUCAAUUGAGAUUCUGCUAGUAGUGGCGAGCGAACGCGGAACAGGCCAGUGGCUGUUUUUGAAGAAGCAGAACGGAAUGGAAAGUCCGGCCAGAGCGGGUGACAGUCCCGUAUGUGUCA